This 499-nucleotide ribosomal RNA is filed under the name uncultured bacterium. RNAcentral's name for it is "partial 16S ribosomal RNA". It matches the Rfam family "Bacterial small subunit ribosomal RNA", at positions 28 to 507 of the family's 1533-position model. The record is from RNAcentral.
GACGAACGCUGGCGGCGUGCCUAAUACAUGCAAGUCGAGCGAAGUUUUUCUGGUGCUUGCACUAGAAACACUUAGCGGCGAACGGGUGAGUAACACGUAAAGAACCUGCCUCAUAGACUGGGACAACUAUUGGAAACGAUAGCUAAUACCGGAUAACAGUAUUUCUCGCAUGGGAGAUAUUUAAAAGUUGGUUAUGCUAACACUAUGAGAUGGCUUUGCGGUGCAUUAGCUAGUUGGUGGGGUAAAGGCCCACCAAGGCGACGAUGCAUAGCCGACCUGAGAGGGUGAUCGGCCACACUGGGACUGAGACACGGCCCAGACUCCUACGGGAGGCAGCAGUAGGGAAUCUUCCGCAAUGGGCGAAAGCCUGACGGAGCAACGCCGCGUGAGUGAAGAAGGAUUUCGGUUCGUAAAGCUCUGUUGUUAGGGAAGAAUGGAUAUGUAGUAACUAUACAUGUAAGAGACGGUACCUAACCAGAAAGCCACGGCUAACUACGUG